CCUACGGGUGGCAGCAGUCGAGAAUCAUUCACAAUGGGGGAAACCCUGAUGGUGCGACGCCGCGUGGGGGAAUGAAGGUCUUCGGAUUGUAAACCCCUGUCAUGUGGGAGCAAAUUAAAAAGAUAGUACCACAAGAGGAAGAGACGGCUAACUCUGUGCCAGCAGCCGCGGUAAUACAGAGGUCUCAAGCGUUGUUCGGAAUCACUGGGCGUAAGGCGGGCGUAGGCUGUUUCGUAAGGCGUGUGUGAAAGGCGCGGGCUCAACCCGCGGACGGCACAUGAUACUGCGAGACUAGAGUAAUGGAGGGGGAACCGGAAUUCUCGGUGUAGAAGUGAAAUGCGUAGAUAUCGAGAGGAACACUCGUGGCGAAGGCGGGUUCCUGGACAUUAACUGACGCUGAGGCACGAAGGCCAGGGGAGCGAAAGGGAUUAGAUACCCCAGUAGUC
RNAcentral lists this ribosomal RNA (446 nucleotides) under uncultured bacterium. RNAcentral's name for it is "partial 16S ribosomal RNA". It matches the Rfam family "Bacterial small subunit ribosomal RNA", at positions 338 to 795 of the family's 1533-position model. The record is from RNAcentral.